UAGAUGAGUCCAAGUUUCAGCACAGAUCUA
RNAcentral lists this non-coding RNA (30 nucleotides) under Mus musculus (house mouse). Lineage: Eukaryota; Metazoa; Chordata; Mammalia; Rodentia; Muridae. The record is from RNAcentral.